This 323-nucleotide ribosomal RNA is filed under the name uncultured Fibrobacterota bacterium. RNAcentral's name for it is "bacterial SSU rRNA". It matches the Rfam family "Bacterial small subunit ribosomal RNA", at positions 29 to 351 of the family's 1533-position model. The record is from RNAcentral. Lineage: Bacteria; Pseudomonadati; Fibrobacterota.
AACGAACGCUGGCGGCGUGCCUAAUACAUGCAAGUCGAACGUUAGAUGUAGCAAUACAUCGAAAGUGGCGAACGGGUGAGUAACACGUAAGUAAUCUGCCUUUAAGAUUGGGAUAACCUUGCCAAACGCGGGGCUAAUACCGGAUGUGAUUAACAGAACGCAUGUUUUGUUAAUUAAAGGAGUGAUCCGCUUAAAGAUGAACUUGCGGCCCAUUAGUUAGUUGGCGGGGUAAUGGCCCACCAAGACCGCGAUGGGUAGCCGGCCUGAGAGGGUGUACGGCCACAUUGGGGACUGAGAUACGGCCCAGACUCCUACGGGAGCUG